Molecule: long non-coding RNA, 2152 nt
Organism: Pipistrellus kuhlii (Kuhl's pipistrelle)
Lineage: Eukaryota; Metazoa; Chordata; Mammalia; Chiroptera; Vespertilionidae
Exons: 3
Source: RefSeq, a predicted model, not a curated record
GCCCCAGGCCGUCUAGAAAUGGGCCCAGGCUCAGCCCCAAAGCAAGUGCCUUAACCAUAGGGAAAGGAAGGGGACAUCAAAUAGGCAGUCUCACUGAUCCUUCAUGUUCCUCUGACUCGUCUUUCGGAUGCCAGCCAAACAUCUUCUGAGAGUGAGGGGCAGAGAAGAGGCAAAGAGCUGAGGUGGAUGAGGCACCAAGAGGAGGGGCUUGUGAGGACAAGGCGACUCCGAGACAAGCAACGACAGCAUCAUCAUAACCAUGACAUCUAGAAGGCGGGUGUCAACCCCGUUCUGGCCCUGGGCCAGGCUCUGAGGGAUCCCAGAUGGGACUGUGUGAACCCCCAGCCUGGGGACCUCCCUGCAAAAGGCCCCCUGUCUCAAGCCAAGGGACCCAGAAGUGUAAAGUUUGUGAGUGACGUGGGGCAAGCUAGGCUAGAGAGAGGAUUUCAAUAAAUGGCCAGGUCUGAGUGGAGAUUGCUACAAACUUGAUAGGCACUGGCCAUGGGGCUUUGCCUGCCAGGGAGAGUCAGGAUGGGGGUGGGGAGACGAAGAGGAGGGAGAUGGAAAACAUGCAGGGGUGUGGUGAUAAAUUGGAUUCCUAGUGGGGGGGAAUGUCUUAAUUUAGAAUUUGUCAAUUUCUGUGGUGUAAAUAUUUCCACAAAGCUAUCAGUUGGUUUAACAACUGGUUCACAAAAUUCUUGACUCAACAACAGCUCUUGCUUACUUACUGCUCAUUAGAUCUUUGUCCCGUCAGAGGCCCUCAACAGCACAAGCCCCCAGGCCCUCGCUGCACGCCUCCCUGAGCCCAGCUUGCCCACUUCCUAGGUUUUAUUUACAGAAAGCCCUUCUCCAUGCAUUGGGCAUCUUGGGGCCUGAAGCGAGCCUUCCAGAUGUUCAAGCUCCCUGUGCUUCAGACCCUAGAGGAGGGCAGGCGGGUCUGCCUCACAGGUUGUUAUGAAGCUCAAUGAGGCGAUGGAUAGGAAAUGACUUUGCCAAAAUGUACACCAAACCCAAUCAAGUGGAGUGCCACAACCCAAGUUCCUUGCCCGCCUCCUCCUAGUGUGGUUUGAAGAGCCAUAGUUUGGGGCAUCUAGCAGUUCUAUAAUAAUUUGCCAGCUGAUUAGCCACCCUGCCUCUCACCUCCCUUGGUCACAUGUCAGCCUCCUCACUCAUUCUCACCGCCAAUGGACCAGGUAUGUGUGGGUGACAAAUACCAGGGAGCCAGGAAGCCACUAGUCAGGUCCCUGGGCCACAGAACAACGCCCAUUCCAGGAGCUGGGAGUCUGUCCACAGAAGGCCACCUGCGGAAGGGGCUUCCUGGUCCUGCGUGUGGCCUGGACAUUCUCUGCUGCAGGAUUUUUAUUAUGCAAUCUUUUCAGAGACCCACAUGCCCUUGACACCUUCCCAGUGACUUCAUUUCCCCCUCCUCUGGGCUCCUGGAAUGGCCCCACCUUAGCUUGGCAGCUGUGGUGAGAGGUGUUGACCCAGCUGCCUGUCUGCUGGCUCACCGUGUCAGGUGGAAGGGGUGAAGACAGUAGCAGGGUUGAGGGGUCUUUCCUCAGAGUCAGGAACCUGGAACUGUCUCCAGGCAGGAUGGGGGCCAGGGUCCCCUGGAUUCAGCCAGCUCCUAGGGGAUGAGUGGUACAGGUAGCCAGUGAGGAAUAGGCCACAGGGCAGGAAAACAGUCCAGAGCCACAGAUAUGCCACUGGUUCUCGUCUUAAUCUCUCCUGUGUGGUGAGAGCACUCUGCCAGGCCUCGAGCCAGCAGAGAGUACCUGCUGACCCCAGAAUAAGUUUCCGUGGGGGCUGGAGACAGUCACACCUGCCUGACCUGUGUGAGCUUUACAGGCUGGUGAAUAAACCAGCACAGCACACUGCAACACACCCUCGACUGGGUAGAAGGCUUCAUAGAGGAGGUGUCAUUCGAAGGAGCCAUAGGAGUGGGUCCCCCGAAAUAGCCCCAAUCUCCCUGCACAAGCCCAAGUCAGGCUCCAGCCCUGGGGCUGGGUCCACCUUCUGAGCAUCCAUGGGGUGACCCUCGCAGCAGGAGGUUACAUAGCCCAACCUCCUCCUGCCAAACAUGGCAGACUUCCCCCUUCUGGGAACAGAUGGGAGUAAAAUUCCCUGGCUGCUCUUUUUAUGAAUGAUCAGG